RNAcentral lists this ribosomal RNA (460 nucleotides) under uncultured bacterium. Its description in RNAcentral is "partial 16S ribosomal RNA". It matches the Rfam family "Bacterial small subunit ribosomal RNA", at positions 338 to 795 of the family's 1533-position model. The record is from RNAcentral.
CCUACGGGCGGCAGCAGUGAGGAAUAUUGGUCAAUGGACGUGAGUCUGAACCAGCCAAGUAGCGUGAAGGAUGACUGCCCUAUGGGUUGUAAACUUCUUUUAUAUGGGAAUAAAACGUUCCACGUGUGGGAUUUUGUAUGUACCAUAUGAAUAAGGAUCGGCUAACUCCGUGCCAGCAGCCGCGGUAAUACGGAGGAUCCGAGCGUUAUCCGGAUUUAUUGGGUUUAAAGGGAGCGUAGGUGGAUUGUUAAGUCAGUUGUGAAAGUUUGCGGUUCAACCGUAAAAUUGCAGUUGAAACUGGCAGUCUUGAGUACAGUAGAGGUGGGCGGAAUUCGUGGUGUAGCGGUGAAAUGCUUAGAUAUCACGAAGAACUCCGAUUGCGAAGGCAGUUCACUGGACUGCAACUGACACUGAGGCUCGAAAGUGUGGGUAUCAAACAGGAUUAGAUACCCUAGUAGUC